Molecule: long non-coding RNA, 1871 nt
Organism: Brachypodium distachyon (stiff brome)
Lineage: Eukaryota; Viridiplantae; Streptophyta; Magnoliopsida; Poales; Poaceae
Exons: 2
Source: RefSeq, a predicted model, not a curated record
AUAUAUAGCAGGUCAUGGGUGGCACAUUGCUCUCUGAUCUCUGAGAUUUCGGAAGAGCAGCAGCGCGAAGCUGGGCACAAACCAAAGCAUGGCUCCCUUCAAAGCAAGUCACAGAGAAUGGUCCCAUGGAGGUAUUGCAUCCAGCAUCAUCUCUAAGAUCUAUCGCCGCGGAGCUCGACACAAGGAAAGUUCAGAACAAAAUCAGCAGAGAGUGACACUAGGGAUGCUUGAAGUGCGCCCUUCUCCUGGAUACGAAAAGCUUCCUGAUUUUGGUUCAUAAUUCAGACAAGCACGAGAGAAACGAGAUGAGUUAACCAAGUGGGAUCAACAUUAGAAGCCACCGACACCGACACGACCAGCUAAACGGCAAUGUCAUUGAUCCGCACGCAAAUACCAACAGGAUCUCGCAUCCGCUCCGUCUCGAUGAUACUCCGCGCUGAUCGUGGCUACGCGUCGAACCAAUUCGGCGCGACGCGAGGCUAAAGGGGAGGAGGACGGGUGGGAAAGCAGAGGAGAGGAAGCCGAACCUGUGGUGGCCGGUGCCAAGAAGAGCAGCACCGCCGCGAGCAUCACGGCGCCGCAGCAGGCCGCGGAUCUGGAGCUCCCGGUGCCGCCGCCAACCGCCAUUUCUUCGCCCGCUACUCCGCGGAUACUCUCUCUUCCGCAGGCAACAGUGAUGCGAGCAGGCUUCCGCGCCUCUGUGGACUGUACGUUUCUUUCCGCCGAUGAGCGAUGGGCGAGUAGACGCGACGGGACAACCUGUGGGGCGUUUCGACCAAAAUGCCCUCUACAGCUGUCGGGGGCGGAUGUUUUUUCGAACGCUUUAUUGAUUCCUAAGAAAGCAAGACACAAUCGAACUUCGAAUAUAAAACAAGAUUUUAAAAAAUAUCAUGGGUUUUCAAAUCAAUGCCUAUAGAUCUAUUAUUUGUAUCUUCACGGUUUCUCUAUUCAUUCAAUGACUAUUGAAGAAUACCAUGUUUGUACAAAGUUUCAUAAGUUUUGAAAAGCCCCACAAAUUGCUGACCUCAAACAAUAGAAACCUACGACCGUUGAAUAUGUCACGGCUGGGGACACACCCUUAUUACAAAGCAAGCGGUGAAACAGUCACCCUUUCGAUGAAUCAAAAAGGAAAAAGAAUAGCAACGUCAAAAGACAACCCGCGAAAACCACUAACUCCAUAAAAAUAGUCAGCGACGUCUACAUCAAUAUGAGGACGGAGUCAGCACACCAAUCUUCUAAACAAUACAAUCCCCAACGUCAAGAUGCCACGGCCGUCGGGGAUAGAUGUUCUUUUGUCCUUGUGAGAGUGAGACUUUCCAAAUUUUGCAUCAGCAAGUUUUCCCAAAUUUGAUUACCUUUGACCAUUGCUUGGUUUCACGUGAAUAUUUCGUUUUUCUUGUCCAAGUUUGGUUUCCUAGUGCCAAAUUUAAUCAUUACUACUCCGUUGUUACAUUGUUGAUUAUUACCACACUCCUUAUCACCUCAUGUCAAAAGAACUUAUAUGUACAUCAAUUGACUAUUUAUGCUUUACAUCAAUCGACCAAUCAAAAAGAUAAGCAGAGUCUUAGGCAUGUCAUGAUGGGACCUAGCAUGUCUCAACUUGUUAUCGACACAACUCUUUUGACAUGUUUUUGUUAGCAUUUUGCGGACAUAUCAUGCUAAUUACUCCCUCCGUCUCAAAAUAACUGAUUUAAAUUUGUAUAAGAAUUUAUGCAAGUACAUGCCACUUAUUUCGGAAUGGAGGGAGUAGAAAAGAAGCAUGUCUUCUCUUGUUGGAGACACAACUCUUACUCGUGGGCAUAACAAAACAAUUAUUUAUUGUAACCACGUGCAAACAUGACACCUAAUUAAAUAAUCCAAACCUUUUUAGA